This 269-nucleotide ribosomal RNA is filed under the name uncultured Eubacteriales bacterium. Its description in RNAcentral is "uncultured Clostridiales bacterium partial 16S ribosomal RNA". It matches the Rfam family "Bacterial small subunit ribosomal RNA", at positions 74 to 339 of the family's 1533-position model. The record is from RNAcentral. Lineage: Bacteria; Bacillati; Bacillota; Clostridia; Eubacteriales.
AGUACUUCGGUACUCUUGCCGGCGACCGGCGGACGGGUGCGUAACGCGUAUGCAACCUACCUUCAACAGGGGGAUAACAGUUAGAAAUGACUGCUAAUACCGCAUAAGCGCACGGCAUCGCAUGAUGCAGUGUGAAAAACUCCGGUGGUAUAAGAUGGACCCGCGUUGGAUUAGCUAGUUGGUGAGGUAACGGCCCACCAAGGCGACGAUCCAUAGCCGACCUGAGAGGGUGAUCGGCCACACUGGGACUGAGACACGGCCCAGACUCC